GGCGCCUGUGGUGACUCGGGGACGCGAUGGACUCGCGGGAGCCGGAUCCGGCGGCAGAGCCGCUCCGGGACGCCUACCAGCAGGAGCAGGGGCAAGCUGAAGCAGUGUCUCUGAGGCUUUUUUAGGCCUCUGUACUGAGUUCUACCCAUGAAUUCUCCUUAACAUGGUACUGGAAGAAAUGGGAAAUCGUAUUGACGACUUACAGAAGAAUGUGAACGACUUAAUGGUGCAAGCUGGGAUUGAAAAUCCUAUUAAAGAACAAAUGACCUGAAGAUAUUAAACCAGUCACUUGAAAAUGUGAUCAAAUGAAAAUUUCUUUUGAGUAAUAAUCUACAUAACAUGAUUUCUGAUUUUCAGUAAUUUUAAAAUGUAUUAGUAAAA
Molecule: RNA transcript, 381 nt
Organism: Trichechus manatus latirostris (Florida manatee)
Lineage: Eukaryota; Metazoa; Chordata; Mammalia; Sirenia; Trichechidae
Gene: HSBP1L1
Gene name: heat shock factor binding protein 1 like 1
Exons: 3
Source: RefSeq, a predicted model, not a curated record